AGGAUAAACGCUGGCGGCGUGCCUAACACAUGCAAGUCGAACGCCCUUUAGCUUCGCAAGGAGUGGGAGGGAGUGGCGGACGGGUGAGGAACACGUGGGUGACCUACCUUUCAGUGAGGAAUACCGGCGAGAAAUCGCCGACAAGACCGCAUACGCUUCUCUAUUCGCAGAGGGAAGGAAAGCUUCACGAGAGUGAGGCGCUGGAAGAUGGGCCUGCGGCCGAUUAGCUAGCUGGUGGGGUAACGGCCUACCAGGGCGACGAUCGGUAGCUGGUCUGAGAGGACGAUCAGCCACACUGGGAUUGAGAACGGCCCAGACUCCUACGGGGGGCAGCAGUGAGGAAUUUUCGUCAAUGGGGGCAACCCUGAACGAGCAACGCCGCGUGCAGGAAGAAGGUUUUCGGAUCGUAAACUGCUUUUCUCGGGGAAGAGAACGGACGGUACCCGAGGAAUCAGCCCCGGCUAACUACGUGCCAGCAGCCGC
This 483-nucleotide ribosomal RNA is filed under the name uncultured bacterium. RNAcentral describes it as "SSU rRNA". It matches the Rfam family "Bacterial small subunit ribosomal RNA", at positions 26 to 518 of the family's 1533-position model. The record is from RNAcentral.